This 471-nucleotide long non-coding RNA is filed under the name Nicotiana benthamiana. RNAcentral's name for it is "long non-coding RNA (NBEN_LNC011893)". The record is from RNAcentral. Lineage: Eukaryota; Viridiplantae; Streptophyta; Magnoliopsida; Solanales; Solanaceae.
AGAAAGGAGCUUGGAACAGAAUUGCUUACAGGAGAAAGAGUCCGGUCACCGGGCGAGGAGUGUGACAAGGUGUUCACAGCAAUGUGCAAUGGACAAAUCAUUGAUCCAAUGUUGGAGUGUCUCAAGAGCUGGAAUGGUGCUCCUCUACCUAUACACUGGACAGAUUAUUGAUCCAAUGCUGGAGUGUCUCAAGAGCUGGAAUGGUGCGCCUCUACCUAUCUGUUAGGUGUUUGCUUGAUUUCGCGCGACGGGAUCUUUUGUUAAUGUUUGUCAAUGCUAUUUUUCAGAUUCUUUUUUUGCUCUUUGGUGAAUUACUAUCAUAAAUGUUGUGAACUUAUAGUUUUUUGGUUAGCUGAAAGUGCUAAAACUCUUUUAAAUAUGUGGAUUGUAGCUGUAAAUGUCUCUUUUCAGUAUAAACUUAAUGAAAAGUGACAGUGUGCUUAAAAAAAAAACAAAAAACAAAAAAAAAAA